Molecule: transfer RNA, 68 nt
Filed under: Coryphistes ruricola
Lineage: Eukaryota; Metazoa; Arthropoda; Insecta; Orthoptera; Acrididae
Description: tRNA-His
Source: RNAcentral
GCUUAAGUAUUUUAAUUAUAAAAUAUUGUUUUGUGGGAUCAAUGAUAUGAUUUAUUUCAUCUUAGGCC